Molecule: small RNA, 33 nt
Filed under: Arabidopsis thaliana (thale cress)
Lineage: Eukaryota; Viridiplantae; Streptophyta; Magnoliopsida; Brassicales; Brassicaceae
Description: ATSL089590
Source: RNAcentral
UUUUUUCAAGUUCCACCUCUUGGAAAAAUAUAU